CCUGCGUACUGUUGGCUUCUGUACUAUAAGAAAAGUUGGUUAAAUAGUAUAAAAGUGAUAUGUUUACUUAACUGUCCAAAUCCAAAUGUCUGUCCUUUGCUUGGGACCCGGCCCUGCAAUUGUUCUUACAUUACCUUAAACACAAGUUUCUGUAAUCAAAAUCCUUUUGAACGGGAGUCAUUGUCACUUAAACAGAACCUUUGUGAAUUUAGUCAAUUCAAGACUUCAAUGUACCUCAAAAGGUAAAUAAGGGAUACCCAACAAAUAACGAAUGCUCAUGUACAGGUGUUUGUGCGUGAACAGAAUUAAUACCAUAAACACUUCCCCUGACGUAAUGUAUGCAGACAACCUUAAUCAAUUAUACUAUUAAAGGUUAAAUCUGUUUUGUAGCUAUAACUAGAAAAACCGAUAACGUAUACCUUAAGAAAUACACUGCAAUGCCACCAAUGUGUUCAUGGCACACAUUGCCUAUUAGCAGCAUUAAAGGAACACUCCAGAAAUGUCUGUUAUCCUGACGUUUGUAAUAUUUGACAGUUUGUGUUAAGAAAGUUCAGAUUUUUAUAACUGGGGCAGAAACAUCUGCAGUAGGUUAUCUACCUCUUGAGCUCCACAG
This is a non-coding RNA of Pelobates cultripes (western spadefoot toad), 613 nucleotides long. NCBI's taxonomy places the organism in Eukaryota, Metazoa, Chordata, Amphibia, Anura, Pelobatidae. The record is from the annotation of a GenBank genome assembly.